RNAcentral lists this ribosomal RNA (497 nucleotides) under uncultured bacterium. RNAcentral describes it as "partial 16S ribosomal RNA". It matches the Rfam family "Bacterial small subunit ribosomal RNA", at positions 28 to 507 of the family's 1533-position model. The record is from RNAcentral.
GAUGAACGCUGGCGGCGUGCCUAAUACAUGCAAGUCGAGCGAACAGACGAGGAGCUUGCUCCUCUGACGUUAGCGGCGGACGGGUGAGUAACACGUGGAUAACCUACCUAUAAGACUGGGAUAACUUCGGGAAACCGGAGCUAAUACCGGAUAAUAUAUUGAACCGCAUGGUUCAAUAGUGAAAGACGGUUUUGCUGUCACUUAUAGAUGGAUCCGCGCCGCAUUAGCUAGUUGGUAAGGUAACGGCUUACCAAGGCAACGAUGCGUAGCCGACCUGAGAGGGUGAUCGGCCACACUGGAACUGAGACACGGUCCAGACGCCUACGGGAGGCAGCAGUAGGGAAUCUUCCGCAAAGGGCGAAAGCUUGACGGAGCAACGCCGCGUGAGUGAUGAAGGUCUUCGGAUCGUAAAACUCUGUUAUUAGGGAAGAACAAAUGUGUAAGUAACUAUGCACGUCUUGACGGUGCCUAACCAGAAAGCCACGGCUAACUACGUG